Molecule: long non-coding RNA, 484 nt
Filed under: Chloebia gouldiae (Gouldian finch)
Lineage: Eukaryota; Metazoa; Chordata; Aves; Passeriformes; Passeridae
Description: Erythrura gouldiae (Gouldian finch) lncRNA (ENSEGOG00005004400.1)
Source: RNAcentral
UUCUCAUAGUCUACAAAUAACAGUUGCUGAGUACCUGAGGAGAUAUCUGGGGCUCCAAGUAACAAAUCCGGAGGCAGAGGAGGGAUGUCCUGGACAGCACAAUUGAUACGCCAGUAACCUUGAGUUGGUCUCUGUGGGGAACAUUAGUGGCAUUUGCCAAAAGCACUGCCGCUGUGAGCCGGAUGUCCUGCUGUGUCACACAAACCACACGUACACGUCUCUUCAACCUGCAAACCCAGACCUAAUUCCACUAAAGCCUCAAACUAAUUCCUCACUGGCAAAACUAGGGAAAAACCCAAACAAACCUUGAGCCUAAUUGCUUGAAAACAGUAGGACACCUAGUGGAUUUAUAGGGAAUAUCUUUGGGAUGAUCAGCAACAUUUUGUCAUUUUCUUGGCACAACCAGCUGUGAACUUAUUUAUAGAGGGAUCACUGAAAUAUCAGGGUUUCUGUUUAAUAAAUUAAUCUUGUUAUGGCUGUUACA